AUUGAACGCUGGCGGCAGGCCUAACACAUGCAAGUCGAGCGGUAGAGAGAAGCUUGCUUCUCUUGAGAGCGGCGGACGGGUGAGUAAUACCUAGGAAUCUGCCUGGUAGUGGGGGAUAACGUUCGGAAACGGACGCUAAUACCGCAUACGUCCUACGGGAGAAAGCAGGGGACCUUCGGGCCUUGCGCUAUCAGAUGAGCCUAGGUCGGAUUAGCUAGUUGGUGAGGUAAUGGCUCACCAAGGCUACGAUCCGUAACUGGUCUGAGAGGAUGAUCAGUCACACUGGAACUGAGACACGGUCCAGACUCCUACGGGAGGCAGCAGUGGGGAAUAUUGGACAAUGGGCGAAAGCCUGAUCCAGCCAUGCCGCGUGUGUGAAGAAGGUCUUCGGAUUGUAAAGCACUUUAAGUUGGGAGGAAGGGCAGUUACCUAAUACGUGAUUG
RNAcentral lists this ribosomal RNA (443 nucleotides) under Pseudomonas fluorescens. RNAcentral describes it as "bacterial SSU rRNA". It matches the Rfam family "Bacterial small subunit ribosomal RNA", at positions 30 to 471 of the family's 1533-position model. Lineage: Bacteria; Pseudomonadati; Pseudomonadota; Gammaproteobacteria; Pseudomonadales; Pseudomonadaceae. The record is from RNAcentral.